This 445-nucleotide ribosomal RNA is filed under the name uncultured bacterium. RNAcentral's name for it is "bacterial SSU rRNA". It matches the Rfam family "Bacterial small subunit ribosomal RNA", at positions 28 to 490 of the family's 1533-position model. The record is from RNAcentral.
GACGAACGCUGGCGGCGCGCUUUAUACAUGCAAGUCGAACGAGAAGCCAGAGCUUGCUCUGGUGGAAAGUGGCGAACGGGUGAGUAACACGUGAGAAACCUGCCCCAAAGACUGGGAUAAGCCGAGGAAACUUGGUCUAAUACCGGAUACCUUCUUUUAUCACAUGUUAAAAAGAAGAAAUGCUCCGGCGCUUUGGGAUGGUCUCGCGACCUAUCAGCUUGUUAGUGAGGUAAAAGCUCACCAAGGCAUCGACGGGUAGCUGGUCUGAGAGGAUGUCCAGCCACAUUGGGACUGAGAUACGGCCCAAACUCCUACGGGAGGCAGCAGUAGGGAAUCUUGCACAAUGAGGGAAACCUUGAUGCAGCGACGCCGCGUGCGGGACGAAGGCCCUAGGUUGUAAACCGCUUUCAGUAGGGACGAAAGUAGACGGUACCUACAGAAGAAG